CUGGCUGAAACCAAGCUUGCUAGGCUAGGAUCAGUGGCGAACGGGUGNGUAACACGUGAGCAACCUGCCCUGGACUCUGGGAUAAGCGCUGGAAACGGCGUCUAAUACUGGAUAUGAGCUCUCAUCGCAUGGUGGGGGUUGGAAAGAUUUUUUGGUCUGGGAUGGGCUCGCGGCCUAUCAGCUUGUUGGUGAGGUAAUGGCUCACCAAGGCGUCGACGGGUAGCCGGCCUGAGAGGGUGACCGGCCACACUGGGACUGAGACACGGCCCAGACUCCUACGGGAGGCAGCAGUGGGGAAUAUUGCACAAUGGGCGGAAGCCUGAUGCAGCAACGCCGCGUGAGGGAUGACGGCCUUCGGGUUGUAAACCUCUUUUAGCAGGGAAGAAGCGAGAGUGACGGUACCUGCAGAAAAAGCGCCGGCUAACUACGUGCCACCAGCCGCGGUAAUACGGGGGCGCAAGCGUUAUCCGGAAUUAUUGUGCGUAAAGAG
Molecule: ribosomal RNA, 490 nt
Filed under: Microbacterium enclense
Lineage: Bacteria; Bacillati; Actinomycetota; Actinomycetes; Micrococcales; Microbacteriaceae
Description: bacterial SSU rRNA
Rfam family: Bacterial small subunit ribosomal RNA
Source: RNAcentral